GCCUGGUGCCUGUGGCUGGUGCCUGAAGCUGGAGUUACAGACAGUUGUGAGCUAUCAUGGCUGUUGGGAAUUAAACCCGGUCAUCUGGAAGAACAACCAGUGUUCUUAAACACUAAGCCAUCUCUCCAGCCAGUUUACCUGUUUUUAAAUUUUUAUUUUUCUGGUAACUUUUUUUAUUCUGUUUUACAAAAGUAUAGGUCUAACUAACCCUGAAGAAAAAAUUGGAGUUACACUCCAGGUCCUUUUUGGUAAUUUUUAGUUGGAUAUAGGAUCUUUUGUUUUGUUUUGUUUUGUUUGUUUGUUUUUUUGAGACAGGGCUUCUCUGUGUAGUCCUGGCUGCUGUGGAACUCACUCUGUAGACCAGGUUGACCUCUAACUCACAGAGAUCUGCCUGCCUCUGCCUCCCUAGUGCUGGGACUAAAAGCCUGUGCCACCACUGCUUAUCUAAAAAAAUUAUUAUUUCUUUUAUGUGCAUGGAUAUUUUGCCUGCAUAUAUGUCUGUGAACCAUGUUUGUGCCUGGUGUCCUGAGACGCCAGAAGAGGGUGUCAGAUCCCCUGGAACUGUAGUUACCCAUAGUUGUGAGCUGCCAUGAGGGUGCUAAGAACCGAACCUAGGUCCUCUGAAAGAGCAGCCAGUACUGAGCCAUCUUCGAGCCCCUGGAGCUUUUUUGAUAGUGUAAAGGAAAGAGAGAAGGGAUAAAGAAAGAAAGUGAAUAGUGGAAACGAUUUUCAUCAUGGGCAAGACUCGAAAUGAAUUUUUGAAAUGAGAUGCCGAAAGCAGUUCGGGGAAAUAAUUAAAGGAAGUAGGCCAGGGCCAGUGUACUGAGAUAGUCAUCCUGCCCGAACCUGUAGUACUGACCAUGCCUCUUUGGGCGUGGUCACAGGUGCGGACAACUAGAUCUGGGGUCCUGGACCCCAGGGCUCUCUCUUGCUUCCAGUUGGGUCACAGAGGGCAGCCUGGAACUUGUGGUGGUCACCUGCUUCUUGUGUAAGUGCAUUCUUCCUGAAUCAACUUCACUUAACCUAUACUGAGUAUUGAUUCUCAUGCAAUAUCUGGCGCCCACCCCCCAAACCCGAACAUGGGUUUGACUAUCCCAGUGGGGAGUAAUCCUAAGAAAACAACACCCCCUUUCCUUACUGUUGGCUUUAAGAGAUAGUAUUCACCUGCAUAGGGUUGGUUUUAGUUGUUUAGGGUUGGGUAUGCAAGGUGAUGCUCAGACUAGGGUAUCUCUUUUAGAAAUGUUUAAGGUUAUGGAUGGGAAAGGUAUGGUUAAGAUGGGAUAUAGGUUCUGCAAGGAUUCAGGCAUUACGCUGGCCUGCCCCUGUUACGUGACAGAAUGCACUCGGGCAGUACUCUGGUCUCGCCCACUUUUCAUCUAUCCAUUCCUUGCGACCAGGUAAGACACCCCUUCUCCUGGUUGGAACAUUUCUCACGGAUGAGGUCCAGGACCACACUUGUUAAGUGGUGUGUUUCUGUUUUAAGCCUCCAGUGGUUUUUGUUCUCUGCCGUUCAGACUUCUGUUUCUAUGGACUUCCAUGUCUUUUUGGGCUUUCCCGCCCUUGGCCGAGUUCUGGGAUGGUACCGAGCCAUCUUCGGCCUCACCGGUGGGAAAUACACUUCAAAUUGGGAGUUCACAUUUUAUGGGACCUUUCCGGUUACAGCCAGUGGACAGAGAGACAGGCCAGCUGCUGGUCCCACCCAUUUCCUCCAAGAAGACUGGCACUGAAGAAACUCCACCCAGAAAAGUCGCACUGCUAGCCACUAAGCAACCCUGCCUUUCACCUCAACUGCUGCAAAGGACUCUUCAGACCGUGGACAAUAGGACAGUGGAAUCGACUUUCUCCACGUAGCUUGGGCCAAUGAUAGGCAAAUCUUCCUAAAGUUCCUAAUCCACAGGUCCCAUGCUAUCAGCAGAAGGCGUGUGUCCUUAAAGUCACUGCCCUCAACAACUAUGGAGGACUUUGGGGGUGGCUGUACGCGCAGCUGGCUAGUAAGUCUCUGUUAUUCUUUAAUCAUUAAUUCAGGUAAAAUUUUAUCCUUCUCAAGAACUCUGAUGCUUUUGACAACUGGUAGCUUUGCCAGCUUAAAGCAACAGGCAAAGCUCCAACUGUCACAAAACAGAUUUCAAGAACAGGUAUUUUAAGGUUUACCUAUGUGAAGAUAGGAAAAUGUAAGGUGUAUGAAUUAAAGUUAUGAAGGUCUGAGGAUAAAAAGGCUUAACCGAUGACAAAUAAAAUGAGUUGAGACAUCUGAAAGAAUGAAACAUGUUUCCAGAUUUCUCUUUCUCAUUAUGCUACUGUUCAUAGUCUUAACAUUAACCAAUAAAGUUCUGAUAAGCUACUAAUCCAACUCUGACAGAGUACAAGUCACCAAACUAUACCACUAUACAAUCGUAACUGCAAGGUCAAGAUUAAAGUACUUUUUAUUAUGCCAAAAAUAUCUGUCAGUUUUUAAAAUGUUAAUUCUUUCAGCCAAGUCGCUUCUAACAUAAAUAUGUUGCUAAUGUGUCUAAUACCUUUGUUUUCACAAACUCUAAGGAUUCUUGUAAGUUCCAGGGAGCCAAAUUGGCCCCCCCAAACAGGUCAGAUUCACUCCAGAUAUUAUUCAAUCUUUUCCUGGUUCCGGGAUUCCAUUCCCUCAUCUUGGGACUCCUCAGAAACCCCUCCCUCAUUCUACAAUCUUCCCUUCAAGUACCAGGACCUAAGAUAAAAAAUUUUCCUAAACUUAACUCUGUACUCUGCUCUGCCAACAUCUUGUCAGGUCUAAAAGGCACCAGAGAGUUCCAUACAGUUUGGACUGCCUUGGAGCAACCAGCUACCCCAGGAUGUGGCAGCACCCCAGCUUUCUCAGGUUCCCCAAAGAUGGUCAACGCCCCCCAGGUCAGCAGGAAGCAGUCUUGAGAACUCGACGCCCUUAUUCCCUAACCUGCCAUGCCUAACUCCCCACCUUUUUAAAAAUAAGUAAAGGUGGGAAUGCAAGGAUUCAGGCAUUAUGCUGGCCUGCCCCUGAUACCUGGCAGAAUGCACUCAGGCAGUACUCUGGUCAGCCCAGGGUUCCAUGAGUACUAGUCUGCAUGUAGGUGUAUAAAGGACCCCUUUAAAAGACAGAUCCCUGCCCUCUUACGCUCUCUUACCCUCUUCGUCUCUCUCUCUCUCUCUUACUGUUCACCUCUUACCCUCUUCUCGUCUCUCCCCCCUCUCACUCUCCCCCUCCCCCACUUAAAUAAACUUCAUGGU
RNAcentral lists this long non-coding RNA (3237 nucleotides) under Cricetulus griseus (Chinese hamster). RNAcentral's name for it is "lncRNA (ENSCGRG00015041844.1)". The record is from RNAcentral. Lineage: Eukaryota; Metazoa; Chordata; Mammalia; Rodentia; Cricetidae.